GUGUGGGGUCAAUUGGUAAGGACUGCUUUCUGUUGUGCUCCUUGUGCAGAGGUAGGGAGUGGAGGUAGAGGACUGCUAAGUUGUGAGCCGAGGUGAUGGAGAGCGGGGGUGUGGAUAACAUCGACUGGGACUCCAUGUUGAAACUUUCUAAAGGUGUUCACUGCAUAUUUUUUUUAGAGCCUCACAGUGACAACCUGGACUCUUGAUGAAUUUAAGGUUUCCCAAGGGGACGCUACUGAGAAGCUGGCUCACCAAGUCGCGGCCCAGGUUGCUGCUGCUCAUCGCAGGGUUGAAGAGGCCUCAGGUGACCCUCAUGAGGAGGAAAAGGAUGAAGCGCACAAAAGUAGCAAAGGCCACGUAAGCGAACCUGCAGUCGGAUGCCCCACUUCACUUGAGACCCUCGAGGACAGGAUCUGCUCGUUAGAUAUGGAAGACAAAGAAGAGGAAGACCAGUGUGUUGGAUCUUUGCCCCAGCAACGAACUAUAAUCCAGGGAUCACAAAACAGAGUGAAGCAAGAGGACGAACCACAGAGAUUGAGACCUCCAGAUUAAUCAGGAUUACACCCACAACCUGGACUACAACUUCACCCCCCUAUUAAAAUAUGCAUCUGUUUUGGCUCAUUAGACUGUAAUGACUGUAGCUUGUACUUCAUUCCUAUCCAAAGACAAACUGUCCCUGUGUUCUUAGUUCAGCCUGUUUCAGGUUUCCAGGUCCACGUGUUUUAAUCUCAGAAAAAGUCCAAACCUGAUGCUGAUUAAACUCUGACGAGAUGCC
This is a long non-coding RNA of Eleginops maclovinus (Patagonian blennie), 775 nucleotides long. RefSeq lists it as uncharacterized. The transcript is spliced from 3 exons. NCBI's taxonomy places the organism in Eukaryota, Metazoa, Chordata, Actinopteri, Perciformes, Eleginopidae. The record is from RefSeq and is a predicted model, not a curated record.